Molecule: ribosomal RNA, 624 nt
Filed under: uncultured fungus
Lineage: Eukaryota; Fungi
Description: eukaryotic LSU rRNA
Rfam family: Eukaryotic large subunit ribosomal RNA
Source: RNAcentral
ACCCGCUGAACUUAAGCAUAUCAAUAAGCGGAGGAAAAGAAACCAACAGGGAUUGCCUCAGUAACGGCGAGUGAAGCGGCAACAGCUCAAAUUUGAAAUCUGGCCCCAGGCCCGAGUUGUAAUUUGCAGAGGAUGCUUUUGGCAAGGUGUCUUCCGAGUUCCCUGGAACGGGACGCCAUAGAGGGUGAGAGCCCCGUCUGGUCGGACACCGAGCCUCUGUAAAGCUCCUUCGACGAGUCGAGUAGUUUGGGAAUGCUGCUCAAAAUGGGAGGUAUAUGUCUUCUAAAGCUAAAUACCGGCCAGAGACCGAUAGCGCACAAGUAGAGUGAUCGAAAGAUGAAAAGCACUUUGAAAAGAGAGUUAAAUAGCACGUGAAAUUGUUGAAAGGGAAGCGUUUAUGACCAGACUUGGCCCGGUUGAUCAUCCAGUGUUCUCACUGGUGCACUCUGCCGGUCCAGGCCAGCAUCAGUUCGUCGCGGGGGAUAAAGGUUUCGGGAAUGUAGCUCUCUUCGGGGAGUGUGAUAGCCCGUUGCGUAAUACCCUGCGGUGGACUGAGGUCCGCGCUCUGCAAGGAUGCUGGCGUAAUGGUCAUCAACGACCCGUCUUGAAACACGGACCAAGGAG